UUUAAGUGCAAUUGUGGGUUCUGCGUAUAGCGUUUGACCGUCCGUCUUAUUUAAUUUUUUUUAUAAUUAAUAUUUUUAUUGUUAUUAGAUCAUAAAACAUGAAUAGCACUUUAUGCAUGGCUUAUUUUUUAAAACUUUUUUUCAAAUAAGACAUAUGGUCAAACAUUGAACACAAAAACCCACAAGUGCACUUAAA
Non-coding RNA from Oryza nivara, 196 nucleotides. The record is from Rfam. NCBI's taxonomy places the organism in Eukaryota, Viridiplantae, Streptophyta, Magnoliopsida, Poales, Poaceae.